RNAcentral lists this ribosomal RNA (893 nucleotides) under uncultured archaeon. Its description in RNAcentral is "bacterial SSU rRNA". It matches the Rfam family "Archaeal small subunit ribosomal RNA", at positions 1 to 884 of the family's 1478-position model. The record is from RNAcentral.
UUCCGGUUGAUCCCGCCGGACCCGACUGCUAUUUGGGUGAGGAUUAGCCAUGCGAGUUGAAUGGGAAGCCUAAAGAUCCCAUGGCAAACUGCUCAGUAACACAUGAUCAACUUACCCUAUAGAGAAAAAUAACCUCGGGAAACUGAGGAUAAUGUUUCAUAGUUGAAUUGGCUUGGAAAAGUUUUUCGACGAAAGGGGUAAAAAAAAUGGUUUUUAUCUGCUAUAGGAUAGGAUCGUGUUCGAUUAUGGUUGUUGGUGAGGUAAUGGCCCACCAAGCCGAUAAUCGAUAGGGGCCGUGAGAGCGGGAGCCCCGAGAUGGGUACUGAGACAACGACCCAGGCCUUACGAGGCGCAGCAGGCGCGAAACCUCCGCAAUACACGAAAGUGUGACGGGGUUACCCAAAGUGUUCAAUUUUGAACUGUGGUAGGUGAGUAAUGUUCCCUACUAGAAAGGAGAGGGCAAGGCUGGUGCCAGCCGCCGCGGUAAAACCAGCUCUUCAAGUGGUCGGGAUAAUUAUUGGGCUUAAAGUGUCCGUAGCCGGUUUAGUAAGUUCCUGGUAAAAUCGGGUAGCUUAACUAUCUAUAUGCUAGGAAUACUACUAUACUAGAGGGCGGGAGAGGUCUGAGGUACUACAGGGGUAGGGGUGAAAUCUUAUAAUCCUUGUUGGACCACCAGUGGCGAAGGCGUCAGACUGGAACGCGCCUGACGGUGAGGGACGAAAGCCAGGGGAGCGAACCGGAUUAGAUACCCGGGUAGUCCUGGCCGUAACGAUGCAUACUAGUGAUGGCACGGGCCAUGAGCCGUGUCAGUGCCGUAGGGAAACCGUUAAGUGUGCCGCCUGGAAGUACGGUCGCAAGGCUAAACUUAAGGGAAUUGGCGGGGGAGCACACAA